AGUGAUCCCCCUGCCUCCACCUCCCAAAGUGCUGGAAUUAUAGGUAUAAGCCACUGUGCCUGGCCCAAGGUCUCUACUUUUGACUCCAACCCUCAGUUGGUCCAUCUGGUUUUUAUGAUUAUCAGAAACUUUGCCAGGAGUAUUGUGUCUCUGAAUAUCAUUGUGGACAAUAAGAAUUCGCCCUUUCCUGAACACCUGAUUCAAACACUCUGUGUGCACAGUACUCUGGGAUUUCUCCCAAUAAUCGCACAAGGAAGAUAACAUCGGAACCUGUCAACAGAAGAGGAGACUGAGGUUCUGAGAGGCUUCAAGAAACAAAGCGACUGAAAGAAGAUCAUGAAGGUAGAAUUCAGCCUGAGUCCAGAGCCGGCCCCGACUGCUAGAACAGUGUUUUCCUCGAACUUAACAGGUCAGAGGAAUUACCUGGGGGCCUGGUGUGAAUUGUGGGUCAUGGACCCCAACCUGGUUAAUGAGUCUGACUUUGACACCGGACACCUGAGAAUCUGCAUUUUCGGACAAACAUCACUGGAGGUAAGAUUGAGACCCCCCCCACACACACACUCCAGUGUUUCUAUCCCCCUGUGGCUUGGUAAGAGCAUAUUUCAGAAGUUGGUAUUGAUGGGGUGGGGACAGGUUGGAGUGGGCAGGGCCUGCACAGCACACCCCCCCAGAGCCCCCAAGAGCCACCGUGUCCCCCACGGCCCUGGCUGACUGGGAACCACCCCUGCCUCUGCACAAAGAAUGGGAGGAAACAGCAGUUUGCCCUGUGCUGCUUCUCCCUGGCGGCCGGCCGGGCUGGCCCGAGGAGCAGCUGAAAAGGCCAGGGACAGGGGAGAGGGCAGUGGCGGCGCCCGGCUGCGGAGCUGGGGGGCCUGGGAAACAAAACACAGCCCCCCCUCCAGAGCUGGCUGGGGGCAGCGGCUGGAGCAAUCGCCCACAGGAAUCUGCAAGCUCAUCACAGUGCUGGGAAGCCUCGCUGGGGACGCACGCGGCACAGGACGCGUCCUGCUCUGCAGAGAUAAGAGAGGACUCCCGGGUUCUCACCACUGAGCACCCCCUGGGAAAAAGCGCUGCUGGCGGCUACUCAGAGGAACGGGACAGAGAUGCCCAAAACAAACAUGCUGGCAGGGAGGCCCCCCUCGAGUGCUAGCUGUGGGGCCCUGUGCCUCAAUUUCCCCACUUGCAAAAGGAAGCUGCAGAUGGAAACUCCCUGCCAUGUCAACGCCAACAUAACAUCUACGUCUCCUACCCGACCUGGGUCACCCUUCCCUCAUUGACCCCACGCCUGCCCUGGGAAAUAUUUAGAUGUUAAGAAAUAAAUGUCUUGUCAGAA
Molecule: non-coding RNA, 1333 nt
Organism: Microcebus murinus (gray mouse lemur)
Lineage: Eukaryota; Metazoa; Chordata; Mammalia; Primates; Cheirogaleidae
Source: RefSeq, a predicted model, not a curated record